This 835-nucleotide long non-coding RNA is filed under the name Dromaius novaehollandiae (emu). Its description in RNAcentral is "lncRNA (ENSDNVG00000007166.1)". Lineage: Eukaryota; Metazoa; Chordata; Aves; Casuariiformes; Dromaiidae. The record is from RNAcentral.
UUUUUUUGUUUUGUUUUGUUUUKUUUUAAACAGAUUUCCUAAACCUCAAAAAUGUUAGAUUCAAAAGGGGAGCUGUUCAAAUGCUUAUUGAAAUCUCUGCAAUUUAUUUUUCCAGGGUUAACUUUGGGAAGUGAACAAAGCUCAUAGUCCUGUAUUUUGUUAGUUAACAUUUAAAAUUGCUUGGAAGAAAUCCCCCAAUUCAUGAAGAGACAGGAAUGCCAAAGGUGGGAUGGGCUACAUAAACACAGUGCCCCCACACUAAUACUACUACUUCGGACUUCCUCCAAACUAUUGCUGGGGAGACGGGCACAGAGCAAGCUGUGGAAAAUUCCAAUUUUCCUAGUUCCAGCCUCACCACUGGAGCACACUUGGACUGGGCUGAUUGCAGAGAGAGUGCGCCCCAGCGCUGUGAGAGACAUGUAUCUUACUAGAUACAAGACUGAGGAGUCCUGGGUCACCUAUGCUCUUAGCAGUGUAAGUUUUGAUCAGUGAAAUCCUCGUGAUAUUUAUGUUUCUGCUGUUCAGAUAUGCACACAUCCACCCCCAUCCUAACAGCUCUCUGGUGUUUGGCCCUGCGCCAUAGCAAGAUUCAUAAGCCUGUUGUUCUUUUGUCUCUUCUUUCUGUGUCCCUUGAACUUACUGGAGGGGGCUUUGUGCAACACAGAAGAGGAGCCCAGUAGUCUGAAGAGAAUUUGUCUCUUUCUAGUAUGAACAGGCCAAUUUAAGUAUUAAUAUAUAUUUUUUCCAUAUUUCAAUUCUUAGACAUUUAAGUAAAUGUAUUAAGGGUCUCAGGAGCACAGAAAACAGGUAAUUCUAAGCUUUCACUUCAGCUCAU